ACCUAAGAGAUUUGGCGGUACUCGUUACUUAUUAGAGAAAUUUGCUAUAAGAGAUCGAUAAUCCCCGAAGAAUCUUACUUUUAUUAGUAUAAUCAGUUUGUAUACCGUCAUAGAUGUGAUUUCUAGAGAAUGUAAAUCAUUUAAUUAAUUUAGUUAGAUAAGACAUUAGAUCAAGGUGCAGCUAAUAUAAAAGGUUAAAGUGAAUUGCAGUGUAGUUUUAUAGAUGUUUGGAAGAAGGAUCGAAUGAGCUUUCUUAAAGUGGAUUUAAUAGUAAUAGUAUUUUAAUAAGAUAUUUUGAUUAUAGUUCUGGAGUAUGU
This 317-nucleotide ribosomal RNA is filed under the name Stenopus goyi. RNAcentral's name for it is "partial 12S ribosomal RNA". Lineage: Eukaryota; Metazoa; Arthropoda; Malacostraca; Decapoda; Stenopodidae. The record is from RNAcentral.